GACGAACGCUGGCGGCGUGCUUAACACAUGCAAGUCGAACGGAAAGGCCCUACUUUUGUGGGGUGCUCGAGUGGCGAACGGGUGCGUAACACGUGAGUAACCUGCCCUUGACUUUGGGAUAACUUCAGGAAACUGGGGCUAAUACCGGAUAGGAGCUCCUGCUGCAUGGUGGGGGUUGGAAAGUUUCGGCGGUUGGGGAUGGACUCGCGGCUUAUCAGCUUGUUGGUGGGGUAGUGGCUUACCCAGGGUUUGACGGAUAGCCGGCCUGAGAGGGUGAACAGCCACAUUGCGACUGAGGUACGGACCAGAUGGCUACGUGGGGCAGCGGUGGGAAAUCUUGCACAAUGGGCGGAAGCCUGUUGAAAAGACGCCGCGUGCGGAAUGACGGCCUUCGGGUUAAAAACAGCUUUCGCUUGUGACGAAGCGUGAGUGACGGUAAUGGAUAAAGAAGCACCGGCUAACUACGUG
RNAcentral lists this ribosomal RNA (468 nucleotides) under uncultured bacterium. Its description in RNAcentral is "partial 16S ribosomal RNA". It matches the Rfam family "Bacterial small subunit ribosomal RNA", at positions 28 to 507 of the family's 1533-position model. The record is from RNAcentral.